Molecule: ribosomal RNA, 254 nt
Filed under: uncultured bacterium
Lineage: Bacteria
Description: partial 16S ribosomal RNA
Rfam family: Bacterial small subunit ribosomal RNA
Source: RNAcentral
UACGUAGGGGGCGAGCGUUGUCCGGAUUCAUUGGGCGUAAAGCGCUUUAAGGCGGUUCGGUAAGUCGGGUGUGAAACCUCCAGGCUCAACCUGGAGACGCCACUCGAUACUGCUGUGACUAGAGUUCGGUAGGGGAUCACGGAAUUCCUGGUGUAGCGGUGAAAUGCGCAGAUAUCAGGAGGAACACCAGCGGCGAAGGCGGCGUCCUGGACUGGGCCUGACGCUCAGGAGCGAAAGCGUGGGGAGCGAUCCGG